CGCGUGGGAAUAUGCCCUUCUCUACGGAAUAGCCUCGGGAAACUGAGAGUAAUACCGUAUACGCCUUCGGGAAGGAUUAUCGAGAAGGGAUAGCCGCGUUAGAUUAGAUAGUUGGUGGGGUAAGUGGCCUACCAAGUCUACGAUCUAUAGCUGGUUUUAGUAGGACGAUCAGCCACACUGGGACUGAGACACGGCCCAGACUCCUACGGGAGGCAGCAGUGGGGAAUCUUAGACAAUGGGCGAAAGCCUGAUCUAGCCAUGCCGCGUGAGUGAUGAAGGUCUUAGGAUCGUAAAGCUCUU
Molecule: ribosomal RNA, 300 nt
Filed under: uncultured Paracoccaceae bacterium
Lineage: Bacteria; Pseudomonadati; Pseudomonadota; Alphaproteobacteria; Rhodobacterales; Paracoccaceae
Description: bacterial SSU rRNA
Rfam family: Bacterial small subunit ribosomal RNA
Source: RNAcentral